GGUCCCAUAGCUCAGUUGGUUAGAGCGUCGUACUAAUAAUGCGAAGGCCGAGAGUUCGACCCUCUCUGGGACCA
RNAcentral lists this transfer RNA (74 nucleotides) under Hypoxylon rubiginosum. RNAcentral's name for it is "tRNA-Ile". It matches the Rfam family "tRNA". From Rfam's summary of the family: Transfer RNA (tRNA) molecules are approximately 80 nucleotides in length. Their secondary structure includes four short double-helical elements and three loops (D, anti-codon, and T loops). Lineage: Eukaryota; Fungi; Ascomycota; Sordariomycetes; Xylariales; Hypoxylaceae. RNAcentral also lists the same sequence under 9 other names. The record is from RNAcentral.